This is a long non-coding RNA of Ruditapes philippinarum (Manila clam), 1159 nucleotides long. RefSeq lists it as uncharacterized. The transcript has 3 exons. NCBI's taxonomy places the organism in Eukaryota, Metazoa, Mollusca, Bivalvia, Venerida, Veneridae. The record is from RefSeq and is a predicted model, not a curated record.
GAGGGAUUAAGUGAGUUGUUAUUUUUGCUUUAGUUUUCGCGUCUUGUUCAAUCUUCCCUGUUUUGAGUCAUAAAUUCAUGUACGUACAUAAACGUUUGUUUAUCGUUAUGUCAAUUUACAUCUAUAUUUUAUAAUAGGUAAUCUCAAACCGUGUAUUGUCUUACAUUGUGUACCCGAGAUAUGAUGAUGUGAGCAUCUAAAGUUAGAUUAUAUAAAUACUUUGGUUUUCAUGAAAUAAUUUAGUUCCGGACGUAUAAAGACAACCUGACUAAAGCUUGUGCAAUACUUACGUGGCUACAAGUUGACGUUAUUUGACUAAAUGUAUUUUGUGUCGAAACAGACGGAUACACGAUUGAUCUCUGUAAGAAAGAUGACAUUGGAAUGAUUGCUUCCAAGAGGUGAUUGCAAAUAAACACAUCAAAGGUUCGUUGCUAAGAACCUUGCAAGGAUACAGGACCAAAUGAACCAACAUACCAUUAAACUAGAAAAGAACAUAUUUAGAUGAUUUCAAUGACAUCCAUGGAACAUUUGUUUAAGACAAAUAUAUUAUAAUACAUUUCCUAGACAAUAUUCUUCAGUUGAAUAAGUAUCAUCAUUUAAAUCGAGAGACCUUUGCAUAUACAUGUAGUGAAUUUACAAUUAGAGAUAUUCAUUUGUUGGUAUGAGUGUAGAGAAAAAUAUAUAACGUUGGAAGCUACAUUGAAGUGCAGAAGAUUUUCGUUAUCAUUAAGUUUGGAUGGACAAACUUUAAUCUUACUUAAUGACGGAUUAAAUUUCAGUUUGAAUAUUAAGGAAAUUACCUAAUCGUUCUUUUCCAGCAUACAAUGUGACAGUUAGUGUAUAGUAUACUUAUUGCAUUUUAUUGAUAUUUUACUUCAUUUUAUCAAUUAUGUUUCCAAAGGUCUGUAUGCAAUCUAGGUUGCCAAAAAAGUGUAAUGAUCAGACCUCCUUAGUAUUGUAUUCUCUUAAUAUUCAUACUUUUCUCUGGAAAUAUGAUAAUUAAAAUUAUAAGUAUGAAUGCGGAUGGUCCAAAUGAUGGCAGAGGGUCCGCAGCAAGGCGGAAAACGGCGAUUCAUGACAUAGUCUGGAAUGAACAACCAGAUAUCAUUUUCUUUCAAGAAUUUAAUUGGGCUAGUAUUAAUUGGAAAGUGAAUUCCCU